RNAcentral lists this ribosomal RNA (198 nucleotides) under uncultured bacterium. RNAcentral describes it as "partial 16S ribosomal RNA". It matches the Rfam family "Bacterial small subunit ribosomal RNA", at positions 328 to 539 of the family's 1533-position model. The record is from RNAcentral.
ACGCUCGACACCUACGGGAGGUAGCAGUGGGGAAUAUUGCACAAUGGGGGAAACCCUGAUGCAGCGACGCCGCGUGGAGGAAGAAGGUCUUCGGAUUGUAAACUCCUGUUGUUGGGGAAAAAGAGGAUGGUACCCAACAAGGAAGUGACGGCUAACUACGUGCCAGCAACCGCGGUAAUCUGAGCGGGCUGGCAAGGC